Molecule: non-coding RNA, 77 nt
Organism: Araneus ventricosus
Lineage: Eukaryota; Metazoa; Arthropoda; Arachnida; Araneae; Araneidae
Source: the annotation of a GenBank genome assembly
CGCGGCCAGUGGAUUCAGUCUCCUUGAAGCCCCAAUGGAUUUCGAGUCCAUCGCCUUAACCACUCGGCCACGACUGC